AAAUUGAAGAGUUUGAUCAUGGCUCAGAUUGAACGCUGGCGGCAGGCCUAACACAUGCAAGUCGAACGGUAACAGGAAGCAGCUUGCUGCUUUGCUGACGAGUGGCGGACGGGUGAGUAAUGUCUGGGAAACUGCCUGAUGGAGGGGGAUAACUACUGGAAACGGUAGCUAAUACCGCAUAAUGUCGCAAGACCAAAGAGGGGGACCUUCGGGCCUCUUGCCAUCGGAUGUGCCCAGAUGGGAUUAGCUAGUAGGUGGGGUAAAGGCUCACCUAGGCGACGAUCCCUAGCUGGUCUGAGAGGAUGACCAGCCACACUGGAACUGAGACACGGUCCAGACUCCUACGGGAGGCAGCAGUGGGGAAUAUUGCACAAUGGGCGCAAGCCUGAUGCAGCCAUGCCGCGUGUAUGAAGAAGGCCUUCGGGUUGUAAAGUACUUUCAGCGGGGAGGAAGGGAGUAAAGUUAAUACCUUUGCUCAUUGACGUUACCCGCAGAAGAAGCACCGGCUAACUCCGUGCCAGCAGCCGCGGUAAUACGGAGGGUGCAAGCGUUAAUCGGAAUUACUGGGCGUAAAGCGCACGCAGGCGGUUUGUUAAGUCAGAUGUGAAAUCCCCGGGCUCAACCUGGGAACUGCAUCUGAUACUGGCAAGCUUGAGUCUCGUAGAGGGGGGUAGAAUUCCAGGUGUAGCGGUGAAAUGCGUAGAGAUCUGGAGGAAUACCGGUGGCGAAGGCGGCCCCCUGGACGAAGACUGACGCUCAGGUGCGAAAGCGUGGGGAGCAAACAGGAUUAGAUACCCUGGUAGUCCACGCCGUAAACGAUGUCGACUUGGAGGUUGUGCCCUUGAGGCGUGGCUUCCGGAGCUAACGCGUUAAGUCGACCGCCUGGGGAGUACGGCCGCAAGGUUAAAACUCAAAUGAAUUGACGGGGGCCCGCACAAGCGGUGGAGCAUGUGGUUUAAUUCGAUGCAACGCGAAGAACCUUACCUGGUCUUGACAUCCACGGAAGUUUUCAGAGAUGAGAAUGUGCCUUCGGGAACCGUGAGACAGGUGCUGCAUGGCUGUCGUCAGCUCGUGUUGUGAAAUGUUGGGUUAAGUCCCGCAACGAGCGCAACCCUUAUCCUUUGUUGCCAGCGGUCCGGCCGGGAACUCAAAGGAGACUGCCAGUGAUAAACUGGAGGAAGGUGGGGAUGACGUCAAGUCAUCAUGGCCCUUACGACCAGGGCUACACACGUGCUACAAUGGCGCAUACAAAGAGAAGCGAUCUCGCGAGAGCAAGCGGACCUCAUAAAGUGCGUCGUAGUCCGGAUUGGAGUCUGCAACUCGACUCCAUGAAGUCGGAAUCGCUAGUAAUCGUGGAUCAGAAUGCCACGGUGAAUACGUUCCCGGGCCUUGUACACACCGCCCGUCACACCAUGGGAGUGGGUUGCAAAAGAAGUAGGUAGCUUAACCUUCGGGAGGGCGCUUACCACUUUGUGAUUCAUGACUGGGGUGAAGUCGUAACAAGGUAACCGUAGGGGAACCUGCGGUUGGAUCACCUCCUUACCUUAAAGAAGC
This 1554-nucleotide ribosomal RNA is filed under the name Escherichia coli O18:H1. Its description in RNAcentral is "bacterial SSU rRNA". It matches the Rfam family "Bacterial small subunit ribosomal RNA". Lineage: Bacteria; Pseudomonadati; Pseudomonadota; Gammaproteobacteria; Enterobacterales; Enterobacteriaceae. The record is from RNAcentral.